Molecule: ribosomal RNA, 492 nt
Filed under: uncultured bacterium
Lineage: Bacteria
Description: partial 16S ribosomal RNA
Rfam family: Bacterial small subunit ribosomal RNA
Source: RNAcentral
AGUGAACGCUGGCGGUAGGCCUAACACAUGCAAGUCGAACGGCAGCACAGUAAGAGCUUGCUCUUACGGGUGGCGAGUGGCGGACGGGUGAGGAAUACAUCGGAAUCUACUUUUUCGUGGGGGAUAACGUAGGGAAACUUACGCUAAUACCGCAUACGACCUACGGGUGAAAGCAGGGGAUCUUCGGACCUUGCGCGAUUGAAUGAGCCGAUGUCGGAUUAGCUAGUUGGCGGGGUAAAGGCCCACCAAGGCGACGAUCCGUAGCUGGUCUGAGAGGAUGAUCAGCCACACUGGAACUGAGACACGGUCCAGACUCCUACGGGAGGCAGCAGUGGGGAAUAUUGGACAAAGGGCGCAAGCCUGAUCCAGCCAUACCGCGUGGGUGAAGAAGGCCUUCGGGUUGUAAAGCCCUUUUGUUGGGAAAGAAAAGCAGCAGGUUAAUACCCCGCUGUUCUGUCGGUACCCAAAGAAUAAGCACCGGCUAACUUCGUG